Molecule: ribosomal RNA, 253 nt
Filed under: uncultured bacterium
Lineage: Bacteria
Description: partial 16S ribosomal RNA
Rfam family: Bacterial small subunit ribosomal RNA
Source: RNAcentral
GACGAACCGUCCUAACGUUGUUCGGAAUCACUGGGCUUAAAGGGCGCGUAGGCGGGUUCCCAAGUCGGUGGUGAAAUCUUUCGGCCCAACCGGAAAACAGCCGCCGAUACUGGGAGUCUUGAGGGAGGUAGGGGUCGAUGGAACUUCCGGUGGAGCGGUGAAAUGCGUAGAUAUCGGAAGGAACGCCGGUGGCGAAAGCGAUCGACUGGACCUUUUCUAACGCUGAGGCGCGAAAGCCAGGGGAGCAAACGGG